CCUACGGGUGGCAGCAGUGAGGAAUAUUGGUCAAUGGACGAGAGUCUGAACCAGCCAAGUAGCGUGAAGGAUGACUGCCCUAUGGGUUGUAAACUUCUUUUAUAUGGGAAUAAAACGUUCCACGUGUGGGAUUUUGUAUGUACCAUAUGAAUAAGGAUCGGCUAACUCCGUGCCAGCAGCCGCGGUAAUACGGAGGAUCCGAGCGUUAUCCGGAUUUAUUGGGUUUAAAGGGAGCGUAGGUGGAUUGUUAAGUCAGUUGUGAAAGUUUGCGGCUCAACCGUAAAAUUGCAGUUGAAACUGGCAGUCUUGAGUACAGUAGAGGUGGGCGGAAUUCGUGGUGUAGCGGUGAAAUGCUUAGAUAUCACGAAGAACUCCGAUUGCGAAGGCAGUUCACUGGACUGCAACUGACACUGAGGCUCGAAAGUGUGGGUAUCAAACAGGAGUAGAUACCCUUGUAGUC
This 460-nucleotide ribosomal RNA is filed under the name uncultured bacterium. RNAcentral's name for it is "partial 16S ribosomal RNA". It matches the Rfam family "Bacterial small subunit ribosomal RNA", at positions 338 to 795 of the family's 1533-position model. The record is from RNAcentral.